UACGAAGGGGGCUAGCGUUGCUCGGAAUCACUGGGCGUAAAGCGCACGUAGGCGGAUCUUUAAGUCAGGGGUGAAAUCCUGGAGCUCAACUCCAGAACUGCCUUUGAUACUGGGGAUCUCGAGUCCGGAAGAGGUGAGUGGAACUCCGAGUGUAGAGGUGAAAUUCGUAGAUAUUCGGAAGAACACCAGUGGCGAAGGCGGCUCACUGGUCCGGUACUGACGCUGAGGUGCGAAAGCGUGGGGAGCGAACGGG
This 253-nucleotide ribosomal RNA is filed under the name uncultured bacterium. Its description in RNAcentral is "partial 16S ribosomal RNA". It matches the Rfam family "Bacterial small subunit ribosomal RNA", at positions 524 to 776 of the family's 1533-position model. The record is from RNAcentral.